Molecule: long non-coding RNA, 403 nt
Filed under: Nicotiana benthamiana
Lineage: Eukaryota; Viridiplantae; Streptophyta; Magnoliopsida; Solanales; Solanaceae
Description: long non-coding RNA (NBEN_LNC021742)
Source: RNAcentral
GAGACAUUUUAAUUUUGGUCACUACUUGAUUGCUCUUUUCUUCAAUAAUUAUACUUUCAUCUUUGAUAAAAUUUACUCUAUAUCCUUUUUGCAACAAUCGUCCCACACUAAAUAAAUUUUGUGUAAGGCCCGGAACAUACAGAACAUCAGAAAUAAACUUGAUCUUACCUCCUGUGGUUUUUACAGCUAUCACACCCUUACCUGCAACCUUAUGAAUUUUUCCAUCUCCAAGCUUUACUUGAGAACUAUGUCUUCGUUUAACUUGACGAAGCUAUUCUUGUUCCCUGUCAUAUGGUUACUACAACCACUAUCCAAAUACCAAAUAUCUUUUGCAUCCGAAUCAACAUUAAAACAUGAAUAGAAUAGAUUAUCUGUUUCCGUAAAUUUAGCUUCGUCAGGUUUA